UGUCGUCAUGACCACAGUCCUGCCAUUAGACCCAAAGAGCAUGAUGCCCAACACGGACACGGAGGGAAAACAGAUCGAUGCAUCGCCAUCCGCCCCGCUCUCCCAGAUCCAAACUGCGUAAACUACCUUCAAGGAAGAAGAUGCCAGUUCCACAGAUGACUCCUCAAGGCCGAGAUCUCGUCUUCUUUCCGCUCGAACCUCAGCAUAACUGGGGGGGAAAAGGAAAAGGAAAAGAGUUUUCAAUGCGAGGAAUGCAAUGUUUUGUUUUCUAUUUGCAUUCCCCCAAUCGGCCCUUUUCUUCGUCUGAAGUCUCUAUUACAGGUCCAGCAUUCUCUACUUUGAAACCCAAAAUCCAAAACACUCAGAAAUUAUCCAUCUGGGCUGCUGAGAUAGUGAGGCCUUUGCUUGCUGAUGGGGUCAAACAUACAAAAUCUAUACACAUAAUAAAAGUGAAAAAUGCGUAUGUGUGUAUGUGUAGACACCUCCAAGGUCAUGUGGCUAUAGGCAUGACUGCAUGGAGCGCCGUUACCUUCCUGCCAGAGCAGUACCUAUUGAUGUACUCACAUCUUGCAUGUUUUCCAACUGCUAGGUUGGCAGAAGCUGGAGCUAACAACUGGCACUCACUCUGCUCCCCGGAUUCGAACCUGCGACCUUUUGGUCUGUAAGUUCAGCAGCACUGCACCACCGGGGGCUUGAGGCAUAUUUAUUCCCUAUGUUCUCUGUGUGAUUUCAGAAAGACUCAUAUAUAUGUUGUUGCCCUGUUUGAACUUUUGAACUGAAGUAAAGAUAUUGUUAAUUGUUACACAA
Molecule: long non-coding RNA, 807 nt
Organism: Anolis carolinensis (green anole)
Lineage: Eukaryota; Metazoa; Chordata; Lepidosauria; Squamata; Anolidae
Exons: 2
Source: RefSeq, a predicted model, not a curated record